GACGAACGCUGGCGGCGUGCUUAACACAUGCAAGUCGAACGGAAAGGCCUGCUUUCCCUUGUGGUUUGCGGGUACUCGGGUGGCGAACGGGUGAGUAACACGUGAGUGAUCUGCCCCCAACUUGGGUAUAAGCCUGGGAACCUGGGUCUAAUUCCCGGUAGGACUGCAGGGUGGUGCCUGUGGUGGAAAACGUUUUUCUAGUGGUUGGGGAUGAGCUCGCGGCCUAUCAGCUUGUUGGUGGGGUAAUGGCCUACCAAGGCGGGGACGGGUAGCCAGCGUGUGAGGGGGGACAGCGACACUGGGACUGAGACCAGGCCCAUACGCGAGGGAGAAGUAGGAAUGGUGAAGAUAGGGGCAAGGGCGGGAGGCUGCAACAGCGACGGAGUGAGGAAGGUGUCCGGAUUGGAAAUGUAAGCUCCUAUCGAAGGAGAAAAGGGUAAGUAGUUAGGCGGGUCGUGACGGUACCGGUAGAAAAAGCCCCGGCUAACUACGUG
RNAcentral lists this ribosomal RNA (494 nucleotides) under uncultured bacterium. RNAcentral describes it as "partial 16S ribosomal RNA". It matches the Rfam family "Bacterial small subunit ribosomal RNA", at positions 28 to 507 of the family's 1533-position model. The record is from RNAcentral.